AUACGGAGGAUCCGAGCGUUAUCCGGAUUUAUUGGGUUUAAAGGGUGCGCAGGCGGCCAUUUAAGUCGGCGGUUAAAUCGUGGGGCUCAACCCCAUUCUGCCGUUGAUACUGGGUGGCUUGAUUGUGGUCGAGGUUGGCGGAAUUCGUUGUGUAACGGGGAAAUGCAUAGAUAUGACGAAGAAAACCGAUUGCGUAGGCAGCUGACCAGACCGCAAAUGACGCUCAUGCACGAAAGUGCGGGGAUCGAACAGGAUUAGAUACCCUGGUAGUCCGCACAGUAAACGAUGAAUACUUGUUUUCGGCGAUAUAAUGUCGGAGGCAAAGCGAAAGCGAUAAGUAUUCCACCUGGGGAGUACGCCGGCAACGGUGAAACUCAAAUGAAUUGACGGGG
RNAcentral lists this ribosomal RNA (392 nucleotides) under uncultured bacterium. RNAcentral describes it as "partial 16S ribosomal RNA". It matches the Rfam family "Bacterial small subunit ribosomal RNA", at positions 523 to 918 of the family's 1533-position model. The record is from RNAcentral.